Molecule: small nuclear RNA, 161 nt
Filed under: Otolemur garnettii (small-eared galago)
Lineage: Eukaryota; Metazoa; Chordata; Mammalia; Primates; Galagidae
Description: U2 spliceosomal RNA
Rfam family: U2 spliceosomal RNA
About the family: U2 is a small nuclear RNA (snRNA) component of the spliceosome (involved in pre-mRNA splicing). Complementary binding between U2 snRNA (in an area lying towards the 5' end but 3' to hairpin I) and the branchpoint sequence (BPS) of the intron results the bulging out of an unpaired adenosine, on the BPS, which initiates a nucleophilic attack at the intronic 5' splice site, thus starting the first of two transesterification reactions that mediate splicing.
Source: Rfam by way of RNAcentral
AUCGCUUCUCGGUCUUUUGGCUAAGAUCAAGUGUAGAAAUACACAUACAACUACUUACUGACAAAUUCAAGAUUUUAAGUUUUUGAAGGAAGUAAAGGCUUUCCUAGCUGGUGCCUUUGCAGAACUUUGAUAGCAAGGAAAGAAAAUCAGUGUUAACCACA